CCCAAGGUCAACAUUGUAGUGACAGGGAGGAGAGGCAGAUGGACAGUGAUAAAAAAAGAAGGAAAAUACAAGAUAAGUAUGACAGCGACAGUGGCAGUUAUAAUACGCCUAGUGCCAAUGCACAGUCCAGGGAGCAAUCCUAUUGGCUGAGACCUGAUCUGAGGAUAUUGACCAAAGCAUGCUAGAGACAUUAAUCCCAAAAGGAGACAUGGCAUGUGUCAUGAUCGUUGCUGGGGAACUACGUGGACAGUUGGGGUCUGUGGUGAAGAGAGACAAAUCCAAGGCCAACGCUGAUGUCCAACUUCUUAGAGACCGCGACCAGAUUAAAACACUGGACUA
Molecule: long non-coding RNA, 339 nt
Organism: Patiria miniata (bat star)
Lineage: Eukaryota; Metazoa; Echinodermata; Asteroidea; Valvatida; Asterinidae
Exons: 4
Source: RefSeq, a predicted model, not a curated record